UAAUGAACUAAUGGAUGAAUAUAAGAUAAUAAAUCUUAAGAAUAAAGAACUAAAACUAACUAAUCAAUCUCACUUCCAUAAGUAUGAUAAAUUAAUUAAGGACAAGAUUUUUAUCAUUAAAGAAAAUUUAGAACUUAAAACAAGCAACCAAAAAUUAAUUCAAAAAACUAAUACCUUAAUUAAAGAUAACGAAAAACUAACCAAGGAAAUUUCAGAACUUAAAAACGGGAAACAAACUUUAAAAGAUAAUCUUACAAAAGACUUAAGCACACUAAAAACAGAAAAAUAAAAGCUUACACAAGAGCUUGAAAAAUACAAACAUAUUGUUGAAAAGUUUACAUAUAGUUCUGAAAAAUUGGAAAUGAUACUUAACAAUCAACGAGCUGUGUUUAAUAGAGCUGGUUUAGGAUACAAACCUAAGAAUAAGCAAAAGCUCCUUAGUAACUUUUUUGUGAAAGCAGGAGAAAGUAAAAUUAAGAAUAUAACCUGUUUUUGCUGUGGAAAGGUAGGACAUAAAGCUAAU
Molecule: long non-coding RNA, 523 nt
Filed under: Phoenix dactylifera (date palm)
Lineage: Eukaryota; Viridiplantae; Streptophyta; Magnoliopsida; Arecales; Arecaceae
Description: long non-coding RNA (PDAC_LNC010645)
Source: RNAcentral